Molecule: small nucleolar RNA, 107 nt
Filed under: Theobroma cacao (cacao)
Lineage: Eukaryota; Viridiplantae; Streptophyta; Magnoliopsida; Malvales; Malvaceae
Description: Plant small nucleolar RNA R71
Rfam family: Plant small nucleolar RNA R71
About the family: R71 is a member of the C/D box family of snoRNAs containing the C (UGAUGA) and D (CUGA) box motifs.
Source: Rfam by way of RNAcentral
AUCCCAUGGUAUGGACAUCUUCUUAGUAUUUCUUUAAAUCUCCCCUAGGCUUCACACAAGGACUCACCAUCAAAUUGUGUGAAUGAGGUGAUAUCAUUCCUCAUCUU